CUGGCUCAGGAUGAACGCUAGCGACAGGCUUAACACAUGCAAGGUCGAGGGGCAGCACGGGAGUAGCAAUACAACUGGUGGCGACCGGCGCACGGGUGAGUAACGCGUAUGCAACCUACCUAUCAGAGGGGAAUAACCCGGCGAAAGUCGGACUAAUACCGCAUAAAACAGGGGCACCGCAUGGUGAUAUUUGUUAAAGAAAUUCGCUGAUAGAUGGGCAUGCGUUCCAUUAGGUAGUUGGUGAGGUAACGGCUCACCAAGCCGACGAUGGAUAGGGGAACUGAGAGGUUGGUCCCCCACACUGGUACUGAGACACGGACCAGACUCCUACGGGAGGCAGCAGUGAGGAAUAUUGGUCAAUGGGCGAGAGCCUGAACCAGCCAAGUCGCGUGAAGGAAGAAGGAUCUAUGGUUCGUAAACUUCUUUUGCAGGGGAAUAAAGUGCGGGACGUGUCCUGUUUUGUAUGUACCCUGAGAAUAAGGAUCGGCUAACUCCGUGCCAGCAGCCGC
Molecule: ribosomal RNA, 509 nt
Filed under: uncultured bacterium
Lineage: Bacteria
Description: bacterial SSU rRNA
Rfam family: Bacterial small subunit ribosomal RNA
Source: RNAcentral